GGAUCACUUCGUGUUAAGCAAAUAACUGACUGGUAUUUGGGAAAACUAGUUAUAAAGUUACCAGAAAAGAAGGCCGAGGAAAGAAUUGCUAGCAUGUUCUAUCUGUGUGUCAGAAAUUUUACACAGGUCUGGAAGCUAUAAAUCUGCAACCAAAGUGUCACAGGGCCACUCCCUCUGAAGGCUACAGCAAGGAAAGACUCCUUGCCUUUUCCUUGCUCCCAACAGCUUUCUCUCUAGGCCCAGAAAAAGCAACAAUACCAGCCAAGGCUGACCUCAGGACCAGCAGCAUUGAAAAAUGACCCCCUGCCCUGGUGCUGGCCAAUCAAUUAGUGGAGACUACAACAAUAAAAGGACACAGCUGGAAAACUGCUGGAUUUUCUAC
This is a long non-coding RNA of Pipistrellus kuhlii (Kuhl's pipistrelle), 382 nucleotides long. RefSeq lists it as uncharacterized. Lineage: Eukaryota; Metazoa; Chordata; Mammalia; Chiroptera; Vespertilionidae. The record is from RefSeq and is a predicted model, not a curated record. The transcript has 3 exons.